AUCUGCCAUAGAAUAUUCUUCUGAAGUAACUUCUGAGCAUGUUCCCAUUCACCACAGCAAGCCAAGUUUUCUAGAAAGCCUCACUGUGCAUUGGCUGAGGCAGAAAACUUCUAAUGGAUACAGCAGAAAACUUCUAAUGAAUAAUAUGACUCUCUACUCUGGACUAUAGAAGUAAGCAUCGAUUCCAUUUGAAUUCUCACUUAGUGGAGCAUCAUAUUUUUAAUGCUAAAAUUUCAUUAAAAUGUAAGGGAAAUUCAGUCCA
RNAcentral lists this small RNA (262 nucleotides) under Rattus norvegicus (Norway rat). RNAcentral describes it as "uncharacterized LOC108349105". Lineage: Eukaryota; Metazoa; Chordata; Mammalia; Rodentia; Muridae. The record is from RNAcentral.